Molecule: ribosomal RNA, 1251 nt
Filed under: Triticum aestivum (bread wheat)
Lineage: Eukaryota; Viridiplantae; Streptophyta; Magnoliopsida; Poales; Poaceae
Description: partial small subunit ribosomal RNA
Source: RNAcentral
AUGGCGAAGGCGAGGCCGCGCUCGGAGCGAUCCAGUCACCGCCGCCGCAUCCUCCUCCUCGUAGUUUCUCUCCUGUCGGCGGUUCUCCUCCUUCCGGCGGCGACGGCCUCCGCGGCGGUGGCGGUGGCGGCGGAGGGGGACGGGGAGAACAGGUCGCGCGGGGCGGCGACGCAGUGGGCGACGGGGAAGGACGAGGGGGAGCUGGCCGCGGAGCGGGAGGCCGCUGGCGGGGGCUCGGUGGUGGAGGACGACUUCGCGGGCGGCUUCGGCUCCCUCGACAGCAUGCUGCAGUGGGCCAUCGGGAAUUCAGAUCCAGGAAGGCUGAAAGAAGAGGCAGCGGAUGUGCAGAAGUUGUCUGAGGAUGAGCUGCUCAAGCGGCGGCAUGAGAUUAAGGACUUGAUGGAAAAGUUAAAGAUGCCAUCAGAUGCUGACUUAAUGAAGAUUGCAAUUGCUGACUUAAAUAAUGCUUCCAUUUCACUGGAGGAUCGCCAGCGUGCAUUGCAAGAGCUUUUAAUUCUUGUCGAGCCCAUUGAUAAUGCAAAUGACCUUGACAAAAUUGGGGGCCUUGUUCCUGUGAUUCAAGAUCUUAAUAAUGCAAAUGAAGAAAUACGGAUCACCUCUGCAUGGAUCCUGGGUACAGCCAGUCAGAAUAAUGCCCUUGUCCAAAGCCAGAUUCUUGGUUAUGGAGCUUUGGCAAGAUUAGUGAAGAUGGGUUAUUCCACUUCGGCAAAAGAAGCUGCGAAGGCAAUGUAUGCUAUAUCGGCUUUGAUCAGAAAUAACGUAAAUGGUCAGGAGGCAUUCACUUCGGAAAAUGGGAACGCAAUGUUGCAGCACAUACUAGGAAGCAACAGCGUUGAUGUUCGGCUUCAGAAGAAGGCGGUGUUUUUAAUAACUGACCUAGCAGACUUUCAGCUUAAUUCUGGAAGCUCAGGGCUCCCAUUCUUAAGUGAACGUGUUUUUCUGAAGUUAGUCACUGAUAUGUUAUCAACUUUUGACCUUGACCUGCAAGAAAAGGUUUUGUUGGCCAUUAGGAGUCUGCUGAAGCUUCCCUCGACGGACGCUAUGGACUUGGAGUCAUGCGGCCUAGACAGCGUGCUGUACAGACUGGGGGUGCAGCUGGAGGAGCUGCCAUCAGAGGAGCAGAAGGAGUACGCCGGGGAGGUUGACGCCCUCCGGAGAGAAGUAGAGAUGCUCUUCCAACAGAAGCUCAAGCCGGGUACAGCUACGGCGGCAUUACAGAUGCUCGGAUGA